RNAcentral lists this ribosomal RNA (205 nucleotides) under uncultured bacterium. Its description in RNAcentral is "partial 16S ribosomal RNA". It matches the Rfam family "Bacterial small subunit ribosomal RNA", at positions 326 to 544 of the family's 1533-position model. The record is from RNAcentral.
ACGCUCGACACCUACGGGAAGCAGCAGUCGGGAAUAUUGCGCAAUGGAGGAAACUCUGACGCAGUGACGCCGCGUAUGGGAAGAAGGUUUUCGGAUUGUAAACCAUUUUAGACAAGGAAGAAACAAGACAGUACUUGUAGAAUAAGCUCCGGCUAACUACGUGCCAGAGCCGCCGGUAAGUACUGAGCGGGCGUGGCGAAGGACG